RNAcentral lists this ribosomal RNA (454 nucleotides) under uncultured bacterium. RNAcentral describes it as "partial 16S ribosomal RNA". It matches the Rfam family "Bacterial small subunit ribosomal RNA", at positions 28 to 507 of the family's 1533-position model. The record is from RNAcentral.
GAUGAACGCUGACAGAAUGCUUAACACAUGCAAGUCAACUUGAACUUCGGUUUGGGUGGCGGACGGGUGAGUAACGCGUACAGAACUUGCCUCACAGCUAGGGACAACAUUUGGAAACGAAUGCUAAUACCUGAUAUUAUGAUUAUAUGGCAUCGUAUAAUUAUGAAAGCUAUAUGCGCUGUGAGAGAGCUUUGCGUCCCAUUAGCUAGUUGGAGAGGUAACAGCUCACCAAGGCGAUGAUGGGUAGCCGGCCUGAGAGGGUGAUCGGCCACAAGGGGAAUGAGACACGGCCCUUACUCCUACGGGAGGCAGCAGUGGGGAAUAUUGGACAAUGGACCGAGAGUCUGAUCCAGCAAUUCUGUGUGCACGAUGAAGUUUUUCGGAAUGUAAAGUGCUUUCAGUUGGGAAGAAAAAAAUGACGGUACCAACAGAAGAAGUGACGGCUAAAUACGUG